This 497-nucleotide ribosomal RNA is filed under the name uncultured bacterium. Its description in RNAcentral is "partial 16S ribosomal RNA". It matches the Rfam family "Bacterial small subunit ribosomal RNA", at positions 28 to 507 of the family's 1533-position model. The record is from RNAcentral.
GAUGAACGCUGGCGGCGUGCCUAAUACAUGCAAGUCGAGCAAACGGACGAGAAGCUUGCUUCUCUGAUGUUAGCGGCGGACGGGUGAGUAACACGUGGAUAACCUACCUAUAAGACUGGGAUAACUUCGGGAAACCGGAGCUAAUACCGGAUGAUAUUUUGAACCGCAUGGUUCAAAAGUGAAAGACGGUCUUGCUGUCCCUUAUAGAUGGAUCCGCGCUGCAUUAGCUAGUUGGUAAGGUAACGGCUUACCAAGGCAACGUUGCAUAGCCGACCUGAAAGGGUGAUGGGCCACACUGGAACUGAGACACGGUCCAGACUCCUACGGGAGGCAGCAGUAGGGAAUCUUCCGCAAUGGGCGAAAGCCUGACGGAGCAACGCCGCGUGAGUGAUGAAGGUCUUCGGAUCGUAAAACUCUGUUAUUAGGGAAGAACAUAUGUGUAAGUAACUGUGCACAUCGUGACGGUACCUAAUCAGAAAGCCACGGCUAACUACGUG